RNAcentral lists this long non-coding RNA (445 nucleotides) under Sitophilus oryzae (rice weevil). RNAcentral describes it as "uncharacterized LOC115877884". Lineage: Eukaryota; Metazoa; Arthropoda; Insecta; Coleoptera; Curculionidae. The record is from RNAcentral.
AUAUAUAGAAAUACAUUUUUAAGAUAUUUGUAUACUGUGUUUGUAUAUAAAUUAUAUAUGAUCUAGAGAUUUAUGAUGUGACGAGCAGGUUUUAUUCAAAUAUUUAAAUUAAUCUUUAAUAGCAUUAUGUAAUAGUUAAUAUCUUUUAUGGGUAAUUACCCUUUUAUUGCUGGUUUGGCAGAUUAAGAUUUAUGAUGUUUUCAUAAUGUUUUCCGUCAAAAGAAAUUUAUAUUUAUGAAUUAGUUUUCAGCGGAAGGCUUUAGUAAAAAAUUCGAACCUUAGUAACCGUUUUCUUUUUGCCAAAAAGGUAGAUAUUUUUUUAUGUUAGAAGUUAUAACUUAAUUGGGCAUUGGGCAUCAAAAUAAACAUGUGAAUAUCUUGACUUGGUGUUUGUUGUCUACUUUAAGUGGUACUGAAUUUAUUAAAAUAAACGUUGUUUUCUACA